GACGAACCGUGCGAACGUUGUUCGGAUUUACUGGGCGUAAAGGGCGCGUAGGCGGUCGUGACAAGUCACUUGUGAAAUCUCCGGGCUUAACUCGGAACGGUCAAGUGAUACUGUCGGACUAGAGUACAGAAGGGGCAACUGGAAUUCUCGGUGUAGCGGUGAAAUGCGUAGAUAUCGAGAGGAACACCUGCGGCGAAGGCGGGUUGCUGGGCUGAUACUGACGCUGAGGCGCGAAAGCCAGGGGAGCGAACGGG
Molecule: ribosomal RNA, 254 nt
Filed under: uncultured bacterium
Lineage: Bacteria
Description: partial 16S ribosomal RNA
Rfam family: Bacterial small subunit ribosomal RNA
Source: RNAcentral